Molecule: long non-coding RNA, 311 nt
Organism: Episyrphus balteatus (marmalade hoverfly)
Lineage: Eukaryota; Metazoa; Arthropoda; Insecta; Diptera; Syrphidae
Exons: 2
Source: RefSeq, a predicted model, not a curated record
UUUGUCAUAAUUUGUUUCUAUUUUUUUUUAUUUUAAUAGUCUCGCAGAAUUUCUAGUUAAAAAAAACACAGUUGCGUUUUGGCCUUGGAACGAGGAUUAUUCACACAAGAGGACUGAGAUUCUCCAAAAGGAAUUUUCCAUCAGAAGCUUAGCUGUAUACUGAAGGAUGACGAAGAAUAAAAAUUAUCCAGUGACGUAGCAAGAGGCCCUUAAGGAAAGAUAUUGCCUCUGGGUAAAGGACGGAAAAUUUUGAAUUAAGAAAAUAUUUUUAUCAAUAUGUGUUUCUUUAUAUUAAAAGGAUCUAAAUGUUA